GUCGAACGGCAGCACGGGAGCAAUCCUGGUGGCGAGUGGCGAACGGGUGAGUAAUAUAUCGGAACGUGCCCAGUCGUGGGGGAUAACGUAGAGAAAUUUACGCUAAUACCGCAUACGAUCUAAGGAUGAAAGCGGGGGACUUCGCAAGAGGCCUCGCGCGAUUGGAGCGGCUGAUAUCAGAUUAGGUUGUUGGUGAGGUAAAAGCUCACCAAGCCGACGAUCUGUAGCUGGUUUGAGAGAACGACCAGCCACACUGGGACUGAGACACGGCCCAGACUCCUACGGGAGGCAGCAGUGGGGAAUUUUGGACAAUGGGCGAAAGCCUGAUCCAGCAAUGCCGCGUGCAGGAAGAAGGCCUUCGGGUUGUAAACUGCUUUUGUACGGAACGAAAAGGUCUGCCCUAAUACGGCGGGCCCAUGACGGUACCGUAAGAAUAAGCACCGGCUAACUACGUGCCAGCAGCCGCGGUAAUACGUAGGGUGCGAGCGUUAAUCGGAAUUACUGGGCGUAAAGCGUGCGCAGGCGGUGAUGUAAGACAGUUGUGAAAUCCCCGGGCUCAACCUGGGAAUUGCAUCUGUGACUGCAUCGCUAGAGUACGGUAGAGGGGGAUGGAAUUCCGCGUGUAGCAGUGAAAUGCGUAGAUAUGCGGAGGAACACCGAUGGCGAAGGCAAUCCCCUGGACCUGUACUGACGCUCAUGCACGAAAGCGUGGG
Molecule: ribosomal RNA, 713 nt
Filed under: Polaromonas sp. MJ_9_10
Lineage: Bacteria; Pseudomonadati; Pseudomonadota; Betaproteobacteria; Burkholderiales; Comamonadaceae
Description: bacterial SSU rRNA
Rfam family: Bacterial small subunit ribosomal RNA
Source: RNAcentral